This is a long non-coding RNA of Vigna angularis (adzuki bean), 356 nucleotides long. RefSeq lists it as uncharacterized. NCBI's taxonomy places the organism in Eukaryota, Viridiplantae, Streptophyta, Magnoliopsida, Fabales, Fabaceae. The record is from RefSeq and is a predicted model, not a curated record. The transcript has 2 exons.
UAUAAACUUAGUCUAUGUGAGAGAGUGGAGGAAUAUACAUACUAUGCUACGCAAGGAAAGGAAGCCAUCUUGGUCUUUGCUUUGAACCUCAAACGGUUGUGGAAACUCACUGGAACUAGAGAUGGUAUUGCAGAUAAAGCUGGAUUGGAAUAGCUCUUCGAGAGAGACGGGAAAUAAAACUUGUUGGGAUUUUUAUAAUGUUUUCUUAUUUAUGUUCGUUUGAUUUUGUUAUUUUAAGAAACAAUUAAGAUUUGGUUUGUUGUAAUGUAUGAACUUAUGAUGUGUGUAUGGUUUGUUUAUGUGUGGUAUAUUUAAAAAAAAAAAAACACUUUCAUAAGAUUCAUGCUUCAAGAUUA